This 3100-nucleotide long non-coding RNA is filed under the name Apis florea (little honeybee). RNAcentral's name for it is "uncharacterized LOC105736466". The record is from RNAcentral. Lineage: Eukaryota; Metazoa; Arthropoda; Insecta; Hymenoptera; Apidae.
UCACUUUAAUGGAACUUUACGAAAAGGAUGAGAUAAAAAAACAAAAAGUAACAACAAACAAGAUUCGUUUUUUAUUAAUUAAUCGUUUAUAAUAACAUUGUGUUUUUUGUUGAUUUUUUUUUCUUUUGUAGCAGUUUUUUCUGAUAUUUCAAUUGGGCUAACAAGAAAUAGAUUGUUAUGCUCCGAUUCAUAGAAAAAACAAAGCACAAGAUUACUGAAUGACAAACGUAGCUGACGAUUUGACAUGCUUAAUCAAUGCGAUAAUUUGUUAUAUUAAAAGUUUUAUGAGUAUAUAUAAUCGAUUUCUUUUUUUAUGCGCUACGUUCUGUUUAUACAAUUUUAGAGUAUCGAUGUAAGAGAAGGAAUGACAAUAAUUGGCGCCUAGCUAAUAACACCAUCGAAAUAUGUCUUCUAUUCCACACUAUCCAAUGUUUUUAACUCUUUUCUUUUCAAACUAUUUUCUCUCCCCAUUGAUUUUUUUUAUUCAUUAUGUCAUCUCAUAUAUGCAUCGAUAUAUAUACACAUCCACUCGUACAUAUGCGCACUCUUUCUCUUUUCUUUCUUUAUUCUAUCUUUCCAUAAAGUGUUUUCAUGGAAUAAAGUUCUACAAUUCCAAAGGGAGUUUUAAUCUCUCAUAGAAGAUUAAUACUCGUCACUAAUAGCUGUUGAAAUAUUGUAUAUUAUUUAACUAACCGUUAUCUAAAUCGAUAUAACGCUUGUACAUCUAUUUUUUUCUCAGGAUGUGGAAAACACUUUUCUGAAAGAGAGAUUUCAGUAUGAGACCUAACAUUGAUUAUUUUGCUUAUUAAUUUUUUUCAUCGAAUUAAAAGAAUCUUCCACGUUCUUCAGACGGUCUUUUCAGCGAAAAAAGAUCAACGUUUGAACGAAUAUCAUUUUUCGUUCAUUUAUUUCGGACAUACACAUACGCAUCAUCUUCGGCACGGCUUAUAUUUGCAAUUCAUAUUGUAUUAGCUGUAUCAAAAGACUGUUUCAUACGAAUUCAUUCAACGACUAAAUUUAUAAUAAUGACAAUAUACAAGUGAGAUACUACACAAAAAUGAGCGUAGAUAACAAACGAAACGACUUCGAGGUAUCUAAUCCAAUUUUCUCUCAUUAUUUUCUCUCAUAUUUUUUCACACUUUUUUAUAAUUUUUUUUAUUCUUGAUUUAAUUUCUUAGAAUGUUAUUUAAUUUGCGCUUGUUUUUUUCAUCCGUUCCAUAUCUUUACUUCUGAUAAAUGUUUAAAUAAAGAUUUGUCUAAGUAUUAUCUGUUAGUUCUUAAUCGUGUUCGACCGUUGCAUUGCGUUAAUUUAUUGUUCCUGUUGUUGUUAAAAUUAUUAUCCUCUAAGAUUUAGUCCGAUCACAAAUAGAGAAGAGACAGAAUUUAGCUCUCGAUACGUGGAAUACUUGAAAUGGAUUUUUUUCUCGCGUUACAUUUUUUGCAUUUUUUAUUAUAAGACUACUUGCUAUUUUUUUUAUUCUUUUUUUUUUUUAUUCCUUUUUUUUUUUUUUUUGGCUUAUGAUAUCUAACACUUAACAAUAAUAGAUGAAGAUUUUUCGUAACUGUUCCAAUAUUUUCUUUCGUACAUAUUCAAUGCUGCUACGUUUUACAAUGAUUCUGGAUUUUUUCUCACAUACAUUUUCAUUUGAAUCAUUUUAAACUCGUUUCGCUACACGAUUUGUCAAUAUGAAACUAAAUAAUGAAAAACGAGGAAAAAAAAAGCAAAAAUGUUAAAGAGAUGGCAGAUGAACGAUAUAGAUUUGCUAAGAAAUAUUUAAUUAACACAUUCACUACCAUUUCAAUGAAUUUUUAUCUAAGAAUUUUUUUUCCAAGAACAUGCUGUUUUUUUUUUUUUUUCUUCUUCUUUUUCUAUAGAUUUGAUCGGUUCAUCAAUUUUCCGUGAAUGUUGUAAGUUUUGAUUACUAGUUUUGUUCGUGUCUUUCGAUGGAUCGACCGAAUAUUCAAAUAUUUUCAUCAAUCAAUUCUGACAUUGGUAGCGAACGUGUUAAGCAUUUAAAGAUCUUAAAUGUCACGUCAGUCUUUUUCUUUUUUUUUUUUUUUUUUUUCUUCUUUUCUUUUCUUCGUUUAAUCGCCUGAAUCAACAUUUCACAUUAGAUAUGUUCACAGCAAAGAUUUAUAGGAAUUCUGACAACAAUCGCGAGUUUACUCCGCUCAAAAGGUACUAUAAGGACAAAGAUCAAAGAAAAGUAAUAUAUUUUUGGCUCAAUCCAUUGGAAAAUUUUUCUAGAUCAGCAGAUUACAAUAAUCCAUCGAUAUAGAGAAUCAUUGAAUGCUGAGGAGUAUUAACAAACUCCUCCGUAAUAACGGUUUAAUUAUACAAUAUAUUAAAUAUAUUAUUAUAAUAUUACGUACUGACUUAUUUUCAAAUCAUCAUAUUGUAGAAUUUUUGAAAGAUGCUUAUAAUAAAUGUAAGAUAAAUGAUGUUACAUUUAUUUCCAAUGGAUCAAACGAUGUCGUUGAUAAACACAUUUCAAAGAACAGCAUCGAAAGCGUAAUCUAUUCAUUUCAAUAAAUUUUUGAUUCAGACAAAAUUUAAAUUUUUGACGCUCGCGCGAAUACUGGUCGAACGAGAUUGACUAUGAUUGAGUUUGCAAUUUCAUGCGUUAAAUCGAACACGACAAUCGAGCAAGCUUUACAUAUUUCGCGACUUUUAUUUCUCAAUGACAAUACGACAAUCGAAACAUGCUUAAAUAUCUACAGUUUUCAAAUGUUUAAUUGUAGAUAUUAAUAAAAACAUUUUUAUCCAUUUAGCUUUUCCACUGUCGCGAAGAAAGUGAAAAGAAAUAUUAAAUAGAGAACUAAGAAAAAUGAAUCUACGUUUGAAUAGCCAAAUUGGUCUCUUGAAAAAAUAUAGUUUGGUCCAUGGUCAUAGUAUACACAGUUUCUGUAACUCUUGCUCGUUAAACGUUAUGCGAUUCAUCGUGAUCGACAUUGCAAAAACAAGAUUCAAAAAUCAUAUUGUAUCAAUUUGAUGGUGCUACUACGUGUGGCCCAAUCCCGCAUUCCAGCAAAUCUGAUCUAAUAUAAUUAUUGCGACAAAAGUGAAAGAUAAUGAAAAUAUUGUCAAGAAGAUAGAAGU